AACGCAUCUUGCACUCCUUGGUAUUCCAAGGAGUAUGCCUGUUUGAGUGUCAUUAAAUUCUCAACUACAUUGAUUUCUCUUUGAUGUGGUUUGGAUAUGGGGGAACAUUGUUUGCAGGCCUCUUCAAUGAAGUCUGCUCCCCUUAAAUGUAUUAGUGGUUACUUUGCAGAGACUACUAAAGGUGUGAUAAUUGUCUAUGCCUUCUUAGAAUUCUGUAUGAAACUGCUUCUAACAAAUGAUCAUUUGAUAUAUUUGACCUCAAAUCAGGUAGGACUACCCGCUGAACUUAA
Molecule: unclassified non-coding RNA, 290 nt
Filed under: uncultured Agaricales
Lineage: Eukaryota; Fungi; Basidiomycota; Agaricomycetes; Agaricales
Description: sequence contains 5.8S rRNA gene, ITS2, 28S rRNA gene
Rfam family: 5.8S ribosomal RNA (bases 1-52)
Source: RNAcentral